Molecule: long non-coding RNA, 783 nt
Filed under: Homo sapiens (human)
Lineage: Eukaryota; Metazoa; Chordata; Mammalia; Primates; Hominidae
Description: HSALNT0232192
Source: RNAcentral
CCUGGGGGCUGGGCUGUCAGUUGGGGUGGAGUCCAUGGCUUGGAGUGAGAACUUAUAGGUGCUUUUUCCAGGCCCGCCCAUGGCCACCCAUGGACCAAUCAACACGCACUUCCUGUCUUCUGAAGUCCAUAAAACUCCAGACUCACCCAAACUCACAGACAUCUGGGCUGCUAGCUGCAUGAAGGAGCUACCCGCUGUGGGUCUCCUCUUUGCUGACAGCUGGACACUUGACAGAAUGACCUGCCUGAACUCGGGACCUGCAGAAUGAUGGGACUGAAGAAGCUGUAACACAAACAGGGCUAAAACACGCACUCUCCUCCCCCUGCUCCCCACCGCCCCACCCACUUGCCACAUUGGAGGUGAUGAGAAGGAGAGAAGAGCUGUGGCCUUUCAGGGAGCAUAGUCCCAGGGGCUCCCUGAGCCAGGGCUGUGAAACCCUCUUCCGGGCACUGCAGUUCCUGGCAUCUCCAAACUUCUGAGUGCCACCGCAUUCCCCGCGUCCGGAUGCAGGUCAAUGCACAGAAAGAAAUCUCUCUCCUGACUUUAGUACAAUGGCACGAUUGGUGGCCACAGUCCAAGGAUGGUUGCUGGGGCACCAAGAGAUUUCUGACAAAGGGCAUUAAAACUGAGAAAGUUUGGGAACCUCUGAAUGCUGUAGGACUUGCAUUUACGUUCUAACUGAGCUUGUUGGACACUGAAAUGGAGGAAGAAUCACAAGCCAUUUUCAAACCUAUGGAGAAGAUAUCUAGAGUGGACUGCAGUUGGGUAUUUUCCUUCUCCGAG